UUCACUUUCAAUGUUCAUAUCAUGGGCUGUUUACGAGUACAUUCAAAAGUACUCAUUGGCUUGCAACAGGUUAUAUUAUUGACCAAACAUGGAAGGGCCGGAGUUUGGAGAUGAGUACGUCUUUGGAGACGCCCCUGCGAACGAGGACGCUUCCGAGUCAGAAUGCUUGUCGGUGUAGGCUUGAUGGCAUGGGCACCUGCUUAGCCCCUAUGAUUUCCGCUCUUAGUUGUAUCAGUACAAUUUGGCAUUAGGCCCAACCUUGUGAACUUGACCAUUCGGUCAUGUGAUG
RNAcentral lists this long non-coding RNA (289 nucleotides) under Hordeum vulgare. RNAcentral's name for it is "long non-coding RNA (HVUL_LNC001020)". The record is from RNAcentral. Lineage: Eukaryota; Viridiplantae; Streptophyta; Magnoliopsida; Poales; Poaceae.